RNAcentral lists this unclassified non-coding RNA (200 nucleotides) under Ascochyta sp. Its description in RNAcentral is "partial internal transcribed spacer 2". The record is from RNAcentral. Lineage: Eukaryota; Fungi; Ascomycota; Dothideomycetes; Pleosporales; Didymellaceae.
UUAAGUUCAGCGGGUAUCCCUACCUGAUCCGAGGUCAAGAGUAAAAAAUGGGCUUCUGGAUGCCAAUGUACCAGUAGAGAGUACGCAAUGUGCUGCGCUCAAAGCCGGAUUACAUGGCUGCCAAUUGCUUUAAGGCGAGUCCACGCGCAAAUGGCGGGACAAACACCCAACACCAAGCAGAGCUUGAGGGUUCAAAUGAC